UCCUGAACCCAGUGUUGUUCCUGGAUGUUUAGGCUGCAGCAGGGUCAGAAGUGCUUUUGUUCUAGCUGCACCCAUUUUUGGAAAGGACAGAUCUGAUGCUUUAGAGUUACACUGAUGAGGCCAGUUACUGAUGCUUUAGUCACAUUGCAUUUGGACUACCGCAACAUUCUCUAUGCAAGGCCGCCCUUGAAGAAUAUCCCGAAAUGUCAACUACCACCAUAGCAUUUAAAGAGAUCCCGAGUUUCUUCCUACAUGAAAAGAUAGGGGGAUACAUAUUCCCAUGAAUAUAUUAGAAAGGAGGAACAGAGAACUGAAGACCAAGAAGAGUUUUAUAUCAAUGAUAAAUGAAUACAUUUAAUAACGUAUCUUCUCACUGCUGGACAGGCUCACCAUAUACACAGCAAGAAAUAUCUACUUCCAGAGGAAACAAGAUACAGGGCUCCACUACAAUACUGCAUAGUACACACCACCAAGAUGGAAACCGACACCAGAACAAUUAUGUAGAAUAUGCAGAGACUUCAAGUAAACUAAUUUUACGAAGAGCAUCUAGAUGUCUGUAGUAACCAGUCUCCCCCUCCACUACAGAAUUAACAGGAAGUGAACUCCUGUCUUGACUGACAGACUGAUGACCUCCAGGGCUCAGCCAAUCAGUCCAACAGGUUGGUGGGACAUGAGAGCUGCAGGGGGUGGGAUUCUGGGAACAAAAAAGGAAGUCAUGGCAGAGAGUACGGACUAGUCUGAAGCCUGUGCAAGGAGGACAUGUGACAAUGGAGUUUUGCUGCAGCAGGAUGACUGUAGAUCCUUGUGAGACACGGUUGAAGGAGGCUUGAUUCUCAUCAGGAGCUUGGUGAGUUCAAGGGAACAGGAUGCCAAGGCUAGGGGCUUCAGAGGUUUAGGGCAGGAGAAAGUGUUUUAGUAAAAAUUUGCGUUAGAAUUUCUGUUUCUUUGGUGUGUGUGCUUUGCAUUGUCCUAAGUAUCUGUUCUUUGCAACUGAGUAACUAAGAGUUCAAAGUGUGCUGCCCUGGAAUAAUGGGGGUGUUUUUGAAGUAUUUGUGUAACCAAUUAAGUAUUUUAAGUGUUUCUAAAAAGCUAAAAGCUUCAGGCAGAACCAGUUUGUAGUAAUUGAAAAUUAUUAUUUUUUGGGUUCUUUACCUUUUACAAGCCUCCAAGGGUGGUUAUUAACUGAGCAGGAAAAAAGCGGGGAGGCAAAAGUGGGAUUUCUCUGGUGCAGAACACAUCUCAAAGAUAGCUUGGCCAAAAAUUAACAAUUAAGAAUUAACUCCAAGUGCAGGCAGAUGCACGGGAGAGAGAGGUUUUAUUCUCUCUCUCUGGCAAGGGGAAGCAAAGUGAAACGGGGAUUGCUAGUCAUCCCAAACCCUUUUGGGAAAGACUUUCUAUAGAGGUGGCUUGGUGGCAGCAAGAUUUACCCUACCAGAAUAUUUUCUUUUUCUUUCUGGGUUUUAGAAAGUUAAAGAUUUUUAAGCCUGCCAGUCUGCUUCUCAUGCAGAGGAAAGGGAUGACUCAGUGCUAGAGUCUUCCCUUGUGCUGCAGAACUGGUUUAGACCAGUAAGUGAGAUUAUCCAUUAACUUUGCCUGAGUCAGGAAAGGUAAUUUUUUCCACUACCCACAAUCCGCUACAGUGUCGAAGGGCAAGCUUGGAAAAUACUUACCAGCUACAUAAUUUGGAAGGAGCACCUGUAGAGCAGCCAGUCUGAUGAGCACUCUCUCUCUCCAAACAUGUCAGGAGGACAUUGGAAUGUCCUUAGACGUCAUGACAGGCACAUUCCCAGCACAACCCCUUUCUAAGUUCAUGAGCCAGUAAGGUAUUAUCCAAACUGGACAUAAAUCUCUUGAAAUUAUCACACAUGUUGAAAACUGACAGUACUGCAAAGAUAUCCCACACAAAUAUCUCACGUUGCAACUGAGGUACAUCAAGUUAAAUCAACACCUCCAUUGCCCCCUCAUGACUGCUCCCCGCAACCAAUAGCAUGAAGACAUAUUGGCUCACAUACUAACGUCACAUGCUCAUAAGAACAUGUGCAACGAGGAAGGAAAUGUUCACCAAUCCCUUUUCUUCUGCUGCCCCCAGUGUUCCCCAAAAGUGUCCACCUGUAGUUUAGGGACUCUUCGGGGACAUUUGGACAGUGAUAUGGUUGAAGAUUCAGACAUGCAGGUGCUCUCCAUGACAGGCCCUAUGGCCAUGCCCCACCCUAACAGCCAGAGAAGCCAAGAAGUACCAGCGCUCUGUCCCUGCACGUCCCCCCUCCAGUACACCCCUGCAUUUGGAGGGCAGGGGGGGGGGAAACAGAGCUAAGUGGGGGGAUUGGCAAAAAUCACUCCUCUCCUCCUUGGACAUGCAUAACAUGCUUAUGCAGGUGCAACAUUAAUCAAUGUGAGCCAUUGUGUUUUUAGUACUCUACUAUGAAAAAAGGAGGUCAAAAACCCAGGAAAUUUAUCAUAUUUAACUAAAAGCGUGAGAAAACAGGUAUGUCCUAAGGGUCUUUUUAAAAAUCAAGGAGCAUGUUAGCUACACACUAGAACAGUUGUUCGAGGGGCAGCUGUGUUAGUCUUUUGCUGCAAAAACAGACCAAUAUAUUUAUUAUAGCAUAAGCUUUUAUGGAUUAAGAUAAAUUGGUAGAAUGCAUCAAGAGAUCUGAUUCUAAUUCAGCAGUCUUGCACUGGAAUCUCCCUUGGAAAUUCCCUUGUUGGUGACCUUUAAGACAGAGAAUGUCCUAGCUGAUUUAACUCUGAUGCUGAUUUAAAAGUCACCAUAAUUCAACAAGUCAACUUCAAAGCGAGACUCCAGCAUGAAACUGCCAAAUUAGAAUUUCCCCCAAAGAUUUUGUUCUAUCAAUUCAGGCUUGAAUCAAGAUAAUAGUUUCCUGCCCCAUUCCAGGGUUUGUUCACUUAGCAUAGAUAGGAAGAUGUUUUAACCCAUUACUGCUGUUGUGAAAUGUCACUGUGCUUUUCCUACAUACAUUUAAGCUUUACAUACUGCUGACAAGACUGUACCUCUUGCAUUUCAUAGCCAUUUCACAUUUCCAUUUUCCACAUCCACUCUCUACCCAUAAUAUAAUAUGUUACAUCUGUUAAUAUAAUAGCUGCAUCAUAUAUAUACACCCACACUAGCCAAUCUAGGAUAGUACUUCAUUCAUCCAAUACUGUGGAGCAUGGUUCACAAAAGCCAAUGCUACAAUAUAUUUUUAAGGUGCCACAAGAUGCUUUGUUAUAUUAGUUAGACUAAAAGGGUAUGAUAUGUGCCAGAAGCUUAGAAUAGCUAGCAGCCCAUCAGGAGCCAUUAAUCAGGCAUCCAUUGUUCACCAUCAUGUAACAAGUCAUACAAACACCUAGAAAGAGGAGGCUCUCUCCCCACCCUUCUUCCAUACAACCAAGCAGCAUGACAGUAACAAUACUUUUGUACUUUACUCUUUCUGGUCAUAUAAUUCUCUAGCUUCAUGUCAUUGUUUUGAUAGUUAUUUUAGUCAGGGGUGUAGCAAGGUUGUAGUGGACCCAGAGACAAGAUUUUAAAAUGCCCCCCCCCCGAAGCUCAGCUCAUGAAGUAAAGAAAUCUUAAAUGAGGCUGAAUAUAUAUAUCUCCUAUGUGCCACAACAGAACAUCAUCCUAAAUUAUUUUUCAAUUUUUUUUGUCAAUUGUGGACGAUGCAAGUCAUUUAAGGGUACUAGAGAAAGACAUGCUGUUCUGGUAGCUCCAGGUCUUAACGCUCACAUCAGUUUCGGAGGAUGAAUACAACUGAAGGAAGCCCGGGCGGGUGUGCGGCUGAGAGAGUCAGUCAUGUGACUUGCCUCUGGGGGCCCCCCCAAGGCAGUGGGCCCCCAGGCAACUGUCUCCCCUUGCCCUAUUAUAGUUACGCCCCUGAUUUUAGUUAUAUGGCAAUGAAAAAUAGAAGCAGAAAAUAUAACCACAGAAUCAAAGGAUGGGCAACAGCCAGGUAACAUAUGGCAACUUCAUUAAGGUCACCUGCAAAAAUAAUAAUCCCAUGGAUUUGUCCCAGCAGGCAGAGAUUACUCAGCAUACCCACAGCAUCUAGACUCAACACUGUGUUACCAACUGAGUUUAUUCUGCCUACUCCCAGAAGCCUCCCUGGUUGCAACUGUAUCUCGAGGCUUGGAGACUGCACUUUUAUGCUCAGGAGCUGCACCACAAUGUGAGCUCUCUGUUUAUGUUACACAUGGGGACAAGUUGCUUAGUUGGCAGUGGACUGGUCACCCCUAGAUUUGGGCUGCAAGUAACACAAAUUGCAAAAGGGAUUAACUUCAUACACCCUCUCCCUACAUGGGGGCCUGGCUAAGCAGACUCCAGAACUAGCUAUUGCGAGUUAUCGGGCAUCCAAGGUCAUUUUGGACUUAGGAUGAACUCCCCUCAUCCUCUUUCAAGAGAGAUAACACCUGCUGCAAAUGAAGCAGUUAGGCCAGGAAGAUAAAGCAGAUGAAGCAGCAGACUCCCUCAUGAUAAAGAUGAGUCACUGACGUAACUUUGAAAAGGUGUACAUCGAAACUUUUGAUAGAACUAUUGGGAAGCACUUCCCAGCACAGGAUACUUUUGGAGGUACCUGCACACUCCAAUUGUCUUCACAAUCAGCCUUGAAUACAAUAGGUGAUUCACACACCUUCCCACCCAGAAAUGAGGAUCAGGCACAAUGCAUUCCAAGAAGCCUGUACAGGCUUACCCUAUUAAGCAAAGUAUGACAAAAGAAAAGUGCCCUCAAGGCACAUUUUGAGAUAUAAGUAUCCCUAACUCCGUGACCCAGGGUGCUCCCUUGUGCUUCACACUUGGGACUCCAUCAGACUGCAACAAGGACUUCAACAAGACCAUCUUCGUGCUCCCUCAUGUAUUAUACACCUGCAACAAGAACUCCAGCAGACCCACCUUGGUGUGCCCCUCUCUAUUGAGGCCACCUGAGCUGAAAUCACUACCUGGAUUGACCCCUGUACCAAUCCAGCCAGCUUUCCUAGCAGGCGCAGGAAGCCAGGUCCACCUAGAAGCCAUUCUCAUGGGCAUCCCUCCACACUAAUUCCUACAACUCUCCUGCUUUUCACAUCACCUCCCCGAUGUAUGCUAGUCUCCUGUAUUAGAUCUUGAGGACAGAUGAUAUAGCCUUUUGCCCGGCUCCUUCAGGGCUGAAUCUAUCCCUCUCUCUAAUUUCUGAAACCUUAUCCCCCUAUCUUAAAGUAACUCUCUAGCCUACCUGGGAAUUUACACAUAAUUUGGAACUUUAAGCUAAACGUGCCUUAAAAUAGUCAGUUUUUAAACAUAUCUGUAGUACUUUUUAUGCUAGGACUGCAUAGUAACCUAGUCUUAUUGCUUUUGUUUUUCUUACAAUAAACUCCUUUUAUUAAUUAAAACCUCUCGCCCAAGCCAGUUUUCUUGAGUUCAGAUGCUUUCACAUAUUAAAAGUGUUUGGAAAUGUCUUACCCUUUUUGAGCUAAAUUCCCCACAUUCGCCCGAACUGGGGUUGUUGACCAAUCAUCCCCAAGGCAGUUCCAUCAACAACUGGUAAACAGAAGAGCCAUCUUUAACUUUCACUUUUUAACACUUAAGACCUACAAGGGCAUCCAGAGCGGGAGAGAGAGCAAGAGGAGCCAGUUGCCUCCCCUGGAUUGUGUCAGAUUCCACUGAAUUCAAUGGGACAUAUUCCCAGGGAGGGAAUAAUGGAUUUCUGGC
Hemicordylus capensis (graceful crag lizard) is the source of this 5683-nucleotide RNA transcript. It is a transcript of the gene named ctenidin-3-like, with no coding region annotated. The record is from RefSeq and is a predicted model, not a curated record. The transcript is spliced from 4 exons. Lineage: Eukaryota; Metazoa; Chordata; Lepidosauria; Squamata; Cordylidae.